Molecule: non-coding RNA, 80 nt
Organism: Merluccius polli (Benguela hake)
Lineage: Eukaryota; Metazoa; Chordata; Actinopteri; Gadiformes; Merlucciidae
Source: the annotation of a GenBank genome assembly
GGCACGAUAGUCUAGUGGCUAUGGUUAGGGUGUUUGACUCCCAGUCAAAAGGUUCUGGGUUUGAACCCCAAUUGUGUUCU